AUUUUAGUAGCUUAAUUUAAAGCAUAAUAUUGAAGAUAUUAUUAUAGUUUUUACUCUAAAAUA
RNAcentral lists this transfer RNA (63 nucleotides) under Phymatostetha semele. RNAcentral's name for it is "tRNA-Phe". Lineage: Eukaryota; Metazoa; Arthropoda; Insecta; Hemiptera; Cercopidae. The record is from RNAcentral.